This 25-nucleotide non-coding RNA is filed under the name Mus musculus (house mouse). The record is from RNAcentral. Lineage: Eukaryota; Metazoa; Chordata; Mammalia; Rodentia; Muridae.
UUGAUGGCCUUACCUUCUGCCAGUU